Molecule: transfer RNA, 58 nt
Filed under: Apaloderma vittatum (bar-tailed trogon)
Lineage: Eukaryota; Metazoa; Chordata; Aves; Trogoniformes; Trogonidae
Rfam family: tRNA
About the family: Transfer RNA (tRNA) molecules are approximately 80 nucleotides in length.
Source: Rfam by way of RNAcentral
UAGCUCAGUCAGUUGAGCGUGGCACUAACAAUGCCAAGGUGGUGGGUUUGAUUCCCAU